UUGCUGUGAUGAAAGAGAUUCCAAAGCCAUUCGUAGUUUCCACCAGAAGUCUUUCCAGAAAGACUUGUGUUGGUCCAAGUACCUUCCUUGGAUGUCUGAGCGA
Small nucleolar RNA from Pyrgilauda ruficollis (rufous-necked snowfinch), 103 nucleotides. RefSeq annotates it as small nucleolar RNA SNORD14. The record is from RefSeq and is a predicted model, not a curated record. The transcript has a single exon. Lineage: Eukaryota; Metazoa; Chordata; Aves; Passeriformes; Passeridae.